CAAGAUGGACAGUAGAACUGUGUUACUGCUUCUAACCGUCUGCUGGGCAGGUGUUAAUGGUCAGACUUUGACAGAAUCUGAACCGGUGGUUAAAAACCCUGGAAGUUCCCACAGACUGACCUGUACAGCCUCUGGAUUUGACAUCAGCAGCUCCUGGAUGGCCUGGAUCAGACAGGCUCCUGGAAAAGGACUGGAGUGGAUUGCUAUUAUAGAAUAUGACAGUGAUAAUAUCUUCUACUCUCAGUCAGUCCAAGGUCGGUUUAUCAUCUCCAGAGAAAACAGUAAACAGCAGGUGUAUCUGCAGAUGAACAACCUGAAAACUGAAGAUUCUGCUGUUUAUUAUUGUGCUCGAUGAGCCACAGUGACUGAAGACAGAAAAGAAGCUGUACAAAAACCUCAGUGGCAAUAAAGAUCAAAUUAAUUUUAUUUUCUCAUGAUGAUUAACAACAUUAGCAAAAUUGAUUCAUAGUAUUUAAUUAAUUCACAUCAAUAUACAUGUUUAGAAUAUUUAUUUGAUAACCUGUAGUAACUACAUCAUUUAGCCACUCAGCUGUGUGAGGGGAGACAUCUAUUUAUAACGCGCUUCAAGAUUCAGUCCAAAAGCAACUUUCCGUGUUGAGUGAAGUUAUUUUCAAUGAUCAAAAGAAAAGGUGCAAAUGACAAAAUCUGUGAUAGCAGUAAAAACGGUCUCAUUGUCCACAAGCUAAUUAGAAAGUCCCACAUCACCUGUGGCUGCAAU
Molecule: non-coding RNA, 739 nt
Organism: Melanotaenia boesemani (Boeseman's rainbowfish)
Lineage: Eukaryota; Metazoa; Chordata; Actinopteri; Atheriniformes; Melanotaeniidae
Source: the annotation of a RefSeq genome assembly